GAUGAACGCUGGCGGCGUGCCUAAUACAUGCAAGUCGAGCGAACAGAUGAGGAGCUUGCUCCUCUGACGUUAGCGGCGGACGGGUGAGUAACACGUGGAUAACCUACCUAUAAGACUGGGAUAACUUCGGGAAACCGGAGCUAAUACCGGAUAAUAUAUUGAACCGCAUGGUUCAAUAGUGAAAGACGGUUUUGCUGUCACUUAUAGAUGGAUCCGCGCCGCAUUAGCUAGUUGGUAAGGUAACGGCUUACCAAGGCAACGAUGCGUAGCCGACCUGAGAGGGGGGACCGCCCACCCGGAACCGAGAACAGGUUCCAGUCGCUAAGGGAGGGAACAUUUGGGAAUCCUCCGGAAUGGGCGAAAGCCUGACGGAGCAACGCCGCCGUGACGAAGAAAGUCUUCGGAUCGUAAAACUUUGUUAUUAGGGAAGAACAAAUGUGUAAGUAACUAUGCACGUCUUGACGGUAACUAAUCAGAAAGCCACGGCUAACUACGUG
This 497-nucleotide ribosomal RNA is filed under the name uncultured bacterium. Its description in RNAcentral is "partial 16S ribosomal RNA". It matches the Rfam family "Bacterial small subunit ribosomal RNA", at positions 28 to 507 of the family's 1533-position model. The record is from RNAcentral.